AGAGGGGCCCGCGUCUGAUUAGCUAGUUGGUGGGGUAACGGCCUACCAAGGCAACGAUCAGUAGCUGGUCUGAGAGGAUGAUCAGCCACACUGGGACUGAGACACGGACCAGACUCCUACGGGAGGCAGCAGUGAGGAAUAUUGGACAAUGGACGAAAGUCUGAUCCAGCUAUGCCGCGUGCAGGAUGACGGCCCUAUGGGUUGUAAACUGCUUUUAUACAGGAAGAAAAACUCCGACGUGUCGGAACUUGACGGUACUGUAAGAAUAAGGAUCGGCUAACUCCGUGCCAGCAGCCGCGGUAAUACGGAGGAUCCAAGCGUUAUCCGGAAUCAUUGGGUUUAAAGGGUCCGUAGGCGGUUUUUUAAGUCAGAGGUGAAAUCCUGCAGCUCAACUGUAGAAUUGCCUUUGAUACUGAAAGACUUGAGUUAUUGUGAAGUGGUUAGAAUGUGUGGUGUAGCGGUGAAAUGCAUAGAUAUCACACAGAAUACCAAUUGCGAAGGCAGAUCACUAACAAUUAACUGACGCUCAGGGACGAAAGCGUGGUAGCGAACGGAUUGAUCCCGG
RNAcentral lists this ribosomal RNA (565 nucleotides) under uncultured Bacteroidota bacterium. RNAcentral describes it as "bacterial SSU rRNA". It matches the Rfam family "Bacterial small subunit ribosomal RNA", at positions 223 to 790 of the family's 1533-position model. The record is from RNAcentral. Lineage: Bacteria; Pseudomonadati; Bacteroidota.